Molecule: transfer RNA, 74 nt
Filed under: Microcaldota archaeon
Lineage: Archaea; Nanobdellati; Microcaldota
Description: tRNA-Arg
Rfam family: tRNA
About the family: Transfer RNA (tRNA) molecules are approximately 80 nucleotides in length. Their secondary structure includes four short double-helical elements and three loops (D, anti-codon, and T loops).
Source: RNAcentral
GGGGCUAUAGUAUAACCUGGACAGAACACCAGCUUGCGGAGCUGGAUAUCGGGGUUCAAAUCCCCGUAGCCCCG